Molecule: ribosomal RNA, 302 nt
Filed under: uncultured bacterium
Lineage: Bacteria
Description: partial 16S ribosomal RNA
Rfam family: Bacterial small subunit ribosomal RNA
Source: RNAcentral
GCAGUAGCCGCGGGAAUACAGAGGGUGCGAGCGUUAAUCGGAUUUACUGGGCGUAAAGCGUGCGUAGGCGGCUUCUUAAGUCGGAUGUGAAAUCCCUGAGCUUAACUUAGGAAUUGCAUUCGAUACUGGGAAGCUAGAGUAUGGGAGAGGAUGGUAGAAUUCCAGGUGUAGCGGUGAAAUGCGUAGAGAUCUGGAGGAAUACCGAUGGCGAAGGCAGCCAUCUGGCCUAAUACUGACGCUGAGGUACGAAAGCAUGGGGAGCAAACAGGAUUAGAUACCCCAGUAGUCCCUGUCUCUUAUAA